GACGAACGCUGGCGGCGUGCUUAACACAUGCAAGUCGAACGGAAAGGCCCUGCUUUUGUGGGGUGCUCGAUUGGCGAACGGGUGAGUAACACGUGAGUAACCUGCCCUUGACUUUGGGAUAACUUCAGGAAACUGGGGCUAAUACCGGAUAGGAGCUCCUGCUGCAUGGUGGGGGUUGGAAAGUUUCGGCGGUUGGGGAUGGACUCGCGGCUUAUCAGCUUGUUGGUGGGGUAGUGGCUUACCAAGGCUUUGACGGGUAGCCGGCCUGAGAGGGUGACCGGCCACAUGGGGACUGAGAUACGGCCCAGACUCCUACGGGAGGCAGCAGUGGGGAAUAUUGCACAAUGGGCGGAAGCCUGAUGCAGCAACGCCGCGUGCGGGAUGACGGCCUUCGGGUUGUAAACCGCUUUCGCCUGUGACGAAGCGUGAGUGACGGUAAUGGGUAAAGAAGCACCGGCUAACUACGUG
This 468-nucleotide ribosomal RNA is filed under the name uncultured bacterium. Its description in RNAcentral is "partial 16S ribosomal RNA". It matches the Rfam family "Bacterial small subunit ribosomal RNA", at positions 28 to 507 of the family's 1533-position model. The record is from RNAcentral.